GGCUAAAACAGUCAGGAUGUUGGCUUAGAAGCAGCCAUCAUUUAAAGAAAGCGUAAUAGCUCACUGAUCGAGUCGUCCUGCGCGGAAGAUGUAACGGGGCUAAGCCAGUCACCGAAGCUGCGGAUAUGCGUAAGCAUAUGGUAGGAGAGCGUUCUGUAAGCCUGCGAAGGUGGCUUGUAAAGGCUGCUGGAGGUAUCAGAAGUGCGAAUGCUGACAUGAGUAGCGAUAAUGGGGGUGAAAAGCCCCCACGCCGUAAGCCCAAGGUUUCCUGUUCAACGUUCAUCGGAGCAGG
RNAcentral lists this ribosomal RNA (292 nucleotides) under Rugamonas fusca. RNAcentral describes it as "partial 23S ribosomal RNA". It matches the Rfam family "Bacterial large subunit ribosomal RNA", at positions 1082 to 1378 of the family's 2925-position model. The record is from RNAcentral. Lineage: Bacteria; Pseudomonadati; Pseudomonadota; Betaproteobacteria; Burkholderiales; Oxalobacteraceae.